UAGUGAAUUAAAUAUUGCCACUUGGUC
Molecule: small RNA, 27 nt
Filed under: Bombyx mori (domestic silkworm)
Lineage: Eukaryota; Metazoa; Arthropoda; Insecta; Lepidoptera; Bombycidae
Description: ovarian small RNA-23043
Source: RNAcentral